CUAAAUAAAAAAAAGGAUUCUAACAAAAUAAAAAAUAAAAAAAGGAUUAAGUGAGAUCCUGUCUGUUCUCCAAAUGAUCUAUGGAUUGGUACCAUAUUCCCUCAAUAAAAAUAUAAUUUUCUCUACAGCUUCUAUCGACAUUUGAUUGCAUUGACUCUAAAUACCAAACCUUUUUUUAUAUAUAUGCAUUCUAAGAUGGGUUUAUGGUAAUGUACUGCAAGAUGGGGGGUAGCACUCUUCC
This 241-nucleotide long non-coding RNA is filed under the name Elaeis guineensis (African oil palm). Its description in RNAcentral is "long non-coding RNA (EGUI_LNC007236)". The record is from RNAcentral. Lineage: Eukaryota; Viridiplantae; Streptophyta; Magnoliopsida; Arecales; Arecaceae.